Molecule: ribosomal RNA, 403 nt
Filed under: uncultured microorganism
Description: bacterial SSU rRNA
Rfam family: Archaeal small subunit ribosomal RNA
Source: RNAcentral
GCGCAGCAGUCGCGAAACCUCCGCAAUGCGGGAAACCGCGACGGGGGACCCCGAGUGCCGUGGCAACGCCACGGCUUUUCCGGAGUGUAAAAAGCUCCGGGAAUAAGGGCUGGGCAAGGCCGGUGGCAGCCGCCGCGGUAAUACCGGCGGCCCGAGUGGUGGCCGCUAUUAUUGGGCCUAAAGCGUCCGUAGCCGGGCCCGUAAGUCCCUGGCGAAAUCCCACGGCUCAACCGUGGGGCUUGCUGGGGAUACUGCGGGUCUUGGGACCGGGAGAGGCGGGGGUACCCCGUGGGGUAGGGGUGAAAUCCUAUAAUCCCAGGGGGACCGCCAGUGGCGAAGGCGCCCCGCUGGAACGGGUCCGACGGUGAGGGACGAAGGCCAGGGGAGCAAACCGGAUUAGAUA